ACUGCAGUACUCCAGACUCCCCCCAGCAGGGUUUUGUAGUGAGCCAGACAGGAGGGCAUCUCAACAGUGUGGUGCGUUGGGGCUGUGACCGGGGCUACCGGCUUAUUGGAAAGGCCACAGCUGUCUGUAAGAAGACGGCCUUUGGGUAUUAUACCUGGGACUCAACGGUACCUGCAUGUCAAGCCGUGGCGUGUGGCGUGCCCACAGCGCCGCUGAAUGGAGGCGUCCAGGCUGUUGAUUACUCCGUGGCAGCACGGUUAACCUACUUCUGCAACAACGGCUUCAGGCUCUCCUCCAAGGAUCUCACCACUACCGUCUGCCAGCCUGACGGCACAUGGAGCAACCACAACAAGAUACCUCGCUGCCCAGUGGUUGUCUGCCCCAGUCUGGGCUCCUUCUCUCUGGACCACGGGAAGUGGUCGAUCGUCAACGGGUCCAGCUAUGAGUUCAGAACCAAGGUGGUCUUCAGCUGUAACCCGGGUUACUACCGGCUCGGUCCCGCUCACAUCCAGUGCCUGGCCAAUGGGGCGUGGAGCUGGC
Molecule: long non-coding RNA, 540 nt
Organism: Oncorhynchus tshawytscha (Chinook salmon)
Lineage: Eukaryota; Metazoa; Chordata; Actinopteri; Salmoniformes; Salmonidae
Exons: 3
Source: RefSeq, a predicted model, not a curated record